This 441-nucleotide ribosomal RNA is filed under the name Streptococcus sp. oral taxon 074. RNAcentral describes it as "bacterial SSU rRNA". It matches the Rfam family "Bacterial small subunit ribosomal RNA", at positions 28 to 459 of the family's 1533-position model. Lineage: Bacteria; Bacillati; Bacillota; Bacilli; Lactobacillales; Streptococcaceae. The record is from RNAcentral.
GAUGAACGCUGGCGGCGUGCCUAAUACAUGCAAGUAGAACGCUGAAGCUUGGUGCUUGCACCGAGCGGAUGAGUUGCGAACGGGUGAGUAACGCGUAGGUAACCUGCCUGGUAGCGGGGGAUAACUAUUGGAAACGAUAGCUAAUACCGCAUGACAACAGUUAUUGCAUGAUAACUGUUUAAAAGGGGCAAUUGCUCCACUACCAGAUGGACCUGCGUUGUAUUAGCUAGUUGGUGAGGUAACGGCUCACCAAGGCGACGAUACAUAGCCGACCUGAGAGGGUGAUCGGCCACACUGGGACUGAGACACGGCCCAGACUCCUACGGGAGGCAGCAGUAGGGGAUCUUCGGCAAUGGACGGAAGUCUGACCGAGCAACGCCGCGUGAGUGAAGAAGGUUUUCGGAUCGUAAAGCUCUGUUGUAAGAGAAGAACGAGUGUGAG